This 517-nucleotide ribosomal RNA is filed under the name Hyrtacus sp. n. B JAR-2018. RNAcentral's name for it is "partial 16S ribosomal RNA". It matches the Rfam family "Bacterial large subunit ribosomal RNA", at positions 1810 to 2600 of the family's 2925-position model. Lineage: Eukaryota; Metazoa; Arthropoda; Insecta; Phasmatodea; Lonchodidae. The record is from RNAcentral.
AAAACAUCUUCUCUUGUUUAAUUAUUUGAGAUAAGGCCUGCCCAAUGAUUAAUUAAAUGGCCGCGGUAAUUUGACCGUGCAAAGGUAGCAUAAUCAUUAGUUUAUUAAUUGUAAACUUGUAUGAAUGGUAUGACGAGGUAUUAGCUGUCUCUUAUUUAUAGUUAGAAUUUGAAUUUUUAGUUAAAAUGCUUAAAUUUAUUUAUUGGACGAGAAGACCCUAUAGAUCUUUAUUAAAAAUUAUUUAAUAAAAUUUGGUUUGAUUUUAUUUUUUAAAUUUUUUUUAUUUUUGUUGGGGUGACAUGGAGAUAUAUUUAACUCAUUAUUUUAUAGAACAUUGAUUUAUGAUUAUUUGACCUUUUAAUAUUGUUAUAAGAUAUAGAUACCUUAGGGAUAACAGCGUAAUUUCUUUUGAGAGUUCUAAUUGACAAGGAAGAUUGCGACCUCGAUGUUGGAUUAAGAUCAAUUUUUGGUGUAGAUGCCUAAAAUUUUAGGUCUGUUCGACCUUUAAAUUCUUACA